AGACUUUUCGUACAGUGAAACCCUGGGAUGCGGGGGACUGACAUCACAAACGGGAGGAAAUGAGCAUUCCCGGGCAGGACAGACCAGCCAGCUGGCUGUCCAUCAGGCUGGGCUGGAAGGACCUUGGAGAGACACUGCCCACUGGGGUCAAGGGGCACCCAGGGUAGUUAGAAGG
This is a non-coding RNA of Equus caballus (horse), 175 nucleotides long. The record is from Rfam. Lineage: Eukaryota; Metazoa; Chordata; Mammalia; Perissodactyla; Equidae.